This 24-nucleotide small nuclear RNA is filed under the name Arabidopsis thaliana (thale cress). Its description in RNAcentral is "snRNA_18186". Lineage: Eukaryota; Viridiplantae; Streptophyta; Magnoliopsida; Brassicales; Brassicaceae. The record is from RNAcentral.
UCCCGGGUAAAUGGAGAACUUAGA